This 253-nucleotide ribosomal RNA is filed under the name uncultured bacterium. Its description in RNAcentral is "partial 16S ribosomal RNA". It matches the Rfam family "Bacterial small subunit ribosomal RNA", at positions 524 to 776 of the family's 1533-position model. The record is from RNAcentral.
UACGGAGGGGGCUAGCGUUGUUCGGAAUUACUGGGCGUAAAGGGCGCGCAGGCGGCUGCUCAAGUCAGGCGUGAAAGGCCUGGGCUCAACCCGGGAAUUGCGCUUGAGACUGGGCUGGCUUGAGUGCGGGAGAGGAUGGUGGAAUUCCCAGUGUAGAGGUGAAAUUCGUAGAUAUUGGGAAGAACACCGGUGGCGAAGGCGGCCAUCUGGACCGCAACUGACGCUGAGGCGCGAAAGCGUGGGAGCAAACAGG